CCUACGGGAGGCAGCAGUGAGGAAUAUUGGUCAAUGGACGAGAGUCUGAACCAGCCAAGUAGUGUGAAGGAUGACUGCCCUAUGGGUUGUAAACUUCUUUUAUAAAGGAAUAAAACGAGGCACGUGUGCCUUUUUGCAUGUACUUUAUGAAUAAGGAUCGGCUAACUCCGUGCCAGCAGCCGCGGUAAUACGGAGGAUCCGAGCGUUAUCCGGAUUUAUUGGGUUUAAAGGGAGCGUAGAUGGGUUGUUAAGUCAGUUGUGAAAGUUUGCGGCUCAACCGUAAAAUUGCAAUUGAUACUGGCAGUCUUGAGUACAGUUGAGGUAGGCGGAAUUCGUGGUGUAGCGGUGAAAUGCUUAGAUAUCACGAAGAACCCCGAUUGCGAAGGCAGCUUACUAAACUGUGACUGACAUUGAUGCUCGAAAGCGUGGGUAGCAAACAGGAUUAGAUACCCCAGUAGUC
RNAcentral lists this ribosomal RNA (460 nucleotides) under uncultured bacterium. Its description in RNAcentral is "partial 16S ribosomal RNA". It matches the Rfam family "Bacterial small subunit ribosomal RNA", at positions 338 to 795 of the family's 1533-position model. The record is from RNAcentral.